ACUCAGGCACGAUCCCUGCCUGGCGGGCUGUCAUUGCAAUGGGCAAUGAUGAUGCCUUUGGUCAGUGAAGAUGUAGGGAACCGACCUGAAGUUUCAAUCCUGAGGGA
Molecule: non-coding RNA, 107 nt
Organism: Corynebacterium ulcerans
Lineage: Bacteria; Bacillati; Actinomycetota; Actinomycetes; Mycobacteriales; Corynebacteriaceae
Source: Rfam